Molecule: unclassified non-coding RNA, 381 nt
Filed under: soil metagenome
Description: partial contains 5.8S ribosomal RNA, internal transcribed spacer 2, and large subunit ribosomal RNA
Rfam family: 5.8S ribosomal RNA (bases 1-120)
Source: RNAcentral
GAUGAAGAACGUAGCGAAAUGCGAUAAGUAAUGUGAAUUGCAGAAUUCAGUGAAUCAUCGAAUCUUUGAACGCACCUUGCGCUCCUUGGUAUUCCGAGGAGCAUGCCUGUUUGAGUGUCAUUAAAUUCUCAACCUUUACAACUUUGUGUUGUCUAGAUUGGAAGUGGGGGCUGCUUGUGUGGAAUCCAAUUCCUCACUCCCCUUAAAUGUAUUAGCUGGAAUGCCUCUGCAUAUCUGACUAUCAGUGUGAUAAUUAUCUAUGCUGUAGUUGUUGCAUGAGGGUAUCUGCUCAAUCAAUCGUCGCAAGACAAUUAUUGACCAUCUUGACCUCAAAUCAGGUAAGACUACCCGCUGAACUUAAGCAUAUCAAUAAGCGGAGGA